CCCCACACCCACACCUGGGCGUAGGUGGGUGUUCGACCAGAGAAGAGAAAGAAGGGGGAAACCCCUUCUCAAACCCUAAUCGACCAAAUUGGAUGGAUUCUGGCUGAAAUCGAACUUGCAUGAACAAGAUUCUUGAUUGUUCAACUCUGUAAAACACAUGGAAUCCCAAUUGACAUGGACUCAAGAAUGGAAGGCUAACGGAUCAAGGGUAAAUAAAGAAGCUAUGCACAACUCGGACGCACGAUGAAAGUGAUUCCAAUUCACUUCUUAGUAUGUAUUGCAUGUAUCUCUACCACUACUAUCGAAGAUAAGCAUGCAUUGAUCGAGCCCCAAAUUAAAGAUUGUACGGGAAGAACGACCACAUAGUCCGAUUUAUGUAUUGUCUUGAAGUGUUACUUUAAUGUGGUUAUUGUUAAUCCCUUUUUUGUAAAUGUUUAUCAUUUGUAUUUGAGCUUUUAAAUAAGUGAUGGGUCUAAAUAAGAAAGAAAAUUUUUGGGCUCA
This is a long non-coding RNA of Helianthus annuus (common sunflower), 501 nucleotides long. RefSeq lists it as uncharacterized. The record is from RefSeq and is a predicted model, not a curated record. Lineage: Eukaryota; Viridiplantae; Streptophyta; Magnoliopsida; Asterales; Asteraceae. The transcript has 3 exons.